This 292-nucleotide ribosomal RNA is filed under the name uncultured eukaryote. RNAcentral describes it as "partial 18S ribosomal RNA". It matches the Rfam family "Eukaryotic small subunit ribosomal RNA", at positions 6 to 309 of the family's 1831-position model. The record is from RNAcentral.
GGUUGAUCCUGCCAGUAGUGUACGCUUGUCCAUAAGAUUAAGCCAUGCAUGUCUAUGUACAGCCCUUUUGUACGGUGAAACUGCGAACGGCUCAUUAUAUCAGUUAUAAUCUACUUGAUGAUUCCUUACUACUUGGAUAACCGUGGUAAUUCUACAGCUAAUACAUGCAUCAAGACCCUUUUGGGUUGUAUUUAUUAGAUAAAGCCUUGGCAGAGAGAUCUGCAGAUGGUGAGUCAUGAUAACUGGGCGGAUCGUAGGGCCUUGAGCCGACGACGCUUCAUUCGAGUUUCUG